CGCACGGGUGAGUAACGCGUAAGUAAUCUACCCUGGUGUUUGGGAUAACCCACCGAAAGGUGAGCUAAUACCGGAUACGCUGAUUUAUCAGGAAAGGUGGCCUCUUCAUGAAAGCUACUGCAUUAGGAGGAGCUUGCGUACCAUUAGCUAGUUGGUAGGGUAAUGGCCUACCAAGGCAACGAUGGUUAGCGGGUCUGAGAGGAUGAUCCGCCACACUGGAACUGGAACACGGACCAG
RNAcentral lists this ribosomal RNA (237 nucleotides) under uncultured bacterium. Its description in RNAcentral is "partial 16S ribosomal RNA". It matches the Rfam family "Bacterial small subunit ribosomal RNA", at positions 99 to 334 of the family's 1533-position model. The record is from RNAcentral.